UGUUUCAGAUUUACGCAACUAUAAAUUAGGUUCCAGGCUUGGCUAUCGGCAUUCUUCUGCAAACCAACAUAAGAUGGAGCCAGAGCAAGCAGACACAUAGGCCAGUGGAGAAGCCAGUUCUGAUGGCCAUCAUGAUGGAGUCGUUGCCUUCACAGCUAAACUGGCUGAUGUUUGCUAACAUCUCCUUGAACAAAGCUCGGGCCUACAACAAUGAUAGCGGCAUUUUCACCUGCCCUCGGAAGGGCUAUUACCACUUCAUGGUGCACAUGUCUGUGUAUGGCCGGGGCCAAUGUGCCAUACGAAAGAAUGGUGAGAUUGUAGCGACACUGUAUGACACCAGUCUGCCUAAUAAGUGCAGCCAAGUAUCAACUGUCAGCUGUGUUGUCGAAUUAGAGAAAAAUGAUAAUGUCUGGGUUUCUACAUACGGCCCUGGUCGAAACGACUUCUUUGCGACUGCUGAAAACGACAGCAUUUUUGUUGGAUUUCGUUUGGGAUAGUCGGUUUUCAUUUCAUUCUUUCUUAUUGCAAUCAUUGCCAAAUUUAGUAAUUUUUAGAUCAAAGUCGAAAGUAAUAUGUUUUGCCUCCUACUAGAUUCUUCUUUGUGUAAAAUGUGAACAUUGAUUGGAAACAAAUCAGGUUGUAUAUGAUCGAGAUAUUUUAGUUCUGUAAUGCUGCGGUUGAAUUAAAUGAUAAAUCUAGAUCAACCUUGAAGCCAUUAUAAUCCAGAAUUGUGAGUUUAGGCGAAUAUUUUUAUUGUAUAACAUGUAACAUUUCGUCCUUAAAAUAAAAAAUUGGCAUCGAUGAAAUCCUAUAACCUUUAUCCCUCCUAUGACCUUUACCAUCUCACAUCUGGGGAAACAUCCAAAAAAAGUAUUAGAACAUUUGAACAUUGAUCUAGCAUACUAGGAUAUGCUUCUUUAACAAGUGGCUCAUGCCAGCCACCAAGCUAAUGCAGGGUUUGCCACACAGACUUUAAUUGGGUGGGGGAUAACAUUAAGUAUCAGUCCGAGAGAACAACACCAUGCGAGAUUGAUAGUGUUUCCCAUACAUUUAAUUACUUUUUAAUGGGUAAAAUCGUGCUUCAUUGUAGAGCUGCAGGCAACACAGUCUGUAAAUAGCCCCUCCUCUCCGUGCACACAAUCAAAACAUGAUCACGAGCGGGAUGAAGGAUUAUUGUCUUUUCCCGGCAGAGGAGACAGCUGGCCAAAUCACUAAUUGAAUCAAUCCACAGUUUAAGAAAUAAAAACUUUUUUUUUGCAUACUCUUUAUUUUGUCUCGAUU
Long non-coding RNA from Gadus chalcogrammus (walleye pollock), 1281 nucleotides. RefSeq lists it as uncharacterized. The record is from RefSeq and is a predicted model, not a curated record. The transcript has 3 exons. Lineage: Eukaryota; Metazoa; Chordata; Actinopteri; Gadiformes; Gadidae.